CGAACGGACCCUUCGGGGUUAGUGGCGGACGGGUGAGUAACACGUGGGAACGUGCCUUUUGGUUCGGAAUAGCUCCUGGAAACGGGUGGUAAUGCCGAAUGUGCCCUUCGGGGGAAAGAUUUAUCGCCAUUAGAGCGGCCCGCGUCUGAUUAGCUAGUUGGUGAGGUAAAGGCUCACCAAGGCGACGAUCAGUAGCUGGUCUGAGAGGAUGACCAGCCACAUUGGGACUGAGACACGGCCCAAACUCCUACGGGAGGCAGCAGUGGGGAAUCUUGCGCAAUGGGCGAAAGCCUGACGCAGCCAUGCCGCGUGAAUGAUGAAGGUCUUAGGAUUGUAAAAUUCUUUCACCGGGGACGAUAAUGACGGUACCCGGAGAAGAAGCCCCGGCUAACUUCGUGCCAGCAGCCGCGGUAAUACGAAGGGGGCUAGCGUUGCUCGGAAUUACUGGGCGUAAAGGGAGCGUAGGCGGACAUUUAAGUCAGGGGUGAAAUCCCAGAGCUCAACUCUGGAACUGCCUUUGAUACUGGAUGUCUUGAGUGUGAGAGAGGUAUGUGGAACUCCGAGUGUAGAGGUGAAAUUCGUAGAUAUUCGGAAGAACACCAGUGGCGAAGGCGACAUACUGGCUCAUUACUGACGCUGAGGCUCGAAAGCGUGGGGAGCAAACAGGAUUAGAUACCCUGGUAGUCCACGCCGUAAACGAUGAUUGCUAGUUGUCGGGAUGUUUACAUCU
Molecule: ribosomal RNA, 730 nt
Filed under: Brevundimonas sp. YIM111
Lineage: Bacteria; Pseudomonadati; Pseudomonadota; Alphaproteobacteria; Caulobacterales; Caulobacteraceae
Description: bacterial SSU rRNA
Rfam family: Bacterial small subunit ribosomal RNA
Source: RNAcentral